RNAcentral lists this transfer RNA (66 nucleotides) under Deleatidium vernale. RNAcentral describes it as "tRNA-Leu". The record is from RNAcentral. Lineage: Eukaryota; Metazoa; Arthropoda; Insecta; Ephemeroptera; Leptophlebiidae.
UACUACUUUGGCAGAUAAGUGUGAUAGAUUUAGGAUCUAUGAAUGGGGUGUUACUCCAGGUAGUAG